GGGGGGCCCAUGGACAUACCUCCAGUCUCAUGUAACAGGCUCACCAUUGGCUUUGUUUGCUCAUUGUCAGGUAAGACAGGUUCUUCUCUAAAAGGAUCUGCAGAGCUAGCCAGUGGGAAGUCACCCACCAGAUGCAUUACUCCAUGCCUAUAAUUCAGCAAAUCUGUCUCAUUCUGGACCUCUGUAACAACCAAACUAUCAGGUAUAGAACCAGUAGCAGUGUUUAUAAUUUCAUUACUCAAUAGAGCAUCCUCCGUGUUUUUCUGGACCUCUGAUACAAAUAAACUAUCAGGUACUGAGAUAGUAGCACCUUUUGCAUUUUCAUUGCCAGGAAGAGCAUCUGCAAUGGCUGAAUCAUCAAGAAUAUCUUCAAGGUUCUCCAGAGGAAAUUCAGGAGGCUUAGAUUGUUUGACAAGAUCAGCGAAAAUAUUCUUAAGAUUGCUGCAAAAUGCGGCAUGCCCCAUCCUCAAAGUUUCAUCUUUUGGCACUCCAUACAGUGUCGGCGCUCUUCGAGCGAGGACUUGUAAGAUGCAGAACAAGUAAUGACGAAGAAUAACAUUGUUAAACGAGAUUGGGCUCUCAAGCAGGCGCAAUAAAGCAACAAGAGUUUCACCCUUCACAUCACUGUCAAAAUCAGAUUCAUUUCUAAUCUGGCAUAAACGCAUGGCAUGCACACCUAACUUCACUUGACCUCUUAAAGUUGGCUCUUCAUCCAAAUAUCUAAUAAACAAUGCCAAUGCAGCAUCAAUCCCAUUGCGCUGGAAUUC
Molecule: unclassified non-coding RNA, 767 nt
Filed under: Hevea brasiliensis (rubber tree)
Lineage: Eukaryota; Viridiplantae; Streptophyta; Magnoliopsida; Malpighiales; Euphorbiaceae
Source: RNAcentral